CUAAUACCGCAUAACAGCGUUGUUCGCAUGAACAACGCUUAAAAGAUGGCUUCUCGCUAUCACUUCUGGAUGGACCUGCGGUGCAUUAGCUUGUUGGUGGGGUAACGGCCUACCAAGGCGAUGAUGCAUAGCCGAGUUGAGAGACUGAUCGGCCACAAUGGGACUGAGACACGGCCCAUACUCCUACGGGAGGCAGCAGUAGGGAAUCUUCCACAAUGGGCGCAAGCCUGAUGGAGCAACACCGCGUGAGUGAAGAAGGGUUUCGGCUCGUAAAGCUCUGUUGUUAAAGAAGAACACGUAUGAGAGUAACUGUUCAUACGUUGACGGUAUUUAACCAGAAAGUCACGGCUAACUACGUGCCAGCAGCCGCGGUAAUACGUAGGUGGCAAGCGUUAUCCGGAUUUAUUGGGCGUAAAGAGAGUGCAGGCGGUUUUCUAAGUCUGAUGUGAAAGCCUUCGGCUUAACCGGAGAAGUGCAUCGGCAACUGGAUAACUUGAGUGCAGAAGAGGGUAGUGGAACUCCAUGUGUAGCGGUGGAAUGCGUAGAUAUAUGGAAGAACACCAGUGGCGAAGGCGGCUACCUGGUCUGCAACUGACGCUGAGACUCGAAAGCAUGGGUAGCGAAC
RNAcentral lists this ribosomal RNA (625 nucleotides) under Limosilactobacillus fermentum. RNAcentral describes it as "bacterial SSU rRNA". It matches the Rfam family "Bacterial small subunit ribosomal RNA", at positions 163 to 773 of the family's 1533-position model. Lineage: Bacteria; Bacillati; Bacillota; Bacilli; Lactobacillales; Lactobacillaceae. The record is from RNAcentral.